UACGUAGGGUGCGAGCGUUGUCCGGAAUUACUGGGCGUAAAGAGCUCGUAGGUGGUUUGUCGCGUUGUUCGUGAAAACUCACAGCUCAACUGUGGGCGUGCGGGCGAUACGGGCAGACUGGAGUACUGCAGGGGAGACUGGAAUUCCUGGUGUAGCGGUGGAAUGCGCAGAUAUCAGGAGGAACACCGGUGGCGGAAGGCGGGUCUCUGGGCAGUAACUGACGCUGAGGAGCGAAAGCGUGGGGAGCGAACAGG
Molecule: ribosomal RNA, 254 nt
Filed under: uncultured bacterium
Lineage: Bacteria
Description: partial 16S ribosomal RNA
Rfam family: Bacterial small subunit ribosomal RNA
Source: RNAcentral